CAUGCGCAGUGCUGGUCUGUGACUGAAGCUGCUCAUCGCGGGUGAGAGGAUGUCGAGCGGAGCAAACUAACAGGGUUAGUGGGUGUGUGAGGAGGAAUGGAGCCAGCGGAGUGGGCAGGGAGGCUUCAUAAAGACACAGUGCAGGCCGCAGACCCCAAAUAACAAGCGAGUUAGAGGAGGGUAAACCUGAGGGAGAUGAGAAACCAAAACCAAACAUCACGUCAAAAUCUGAAAGUCACUUGUUUCACCAGGACCUGAAUAUUACCAGCCUUUGAAAAUACCAGCAUCUAUUGUGAUCCCCAGCUGCCUGUGGAGAAGAUGAUGUUUGACCUUCUUGAAUCGCUGCAGUCCAUGUGGUGAAGAUGAUCCCACAAUGCUGUUAGGGGAGUCGAAGGGGAGGAUUUGCAGUCGGGAAACUGAAACCAAACAUCACAUCAGGAUCUGACUGAGCUGCCCAAUUUAUCAUAACCUGAAUAUCAUCGGAUUUUGAACAUGGAAGGAAAAAGCACCGUUCACAGUGGGGAGAAGCCGUACACGUGUUCUGUGUGUGGACGAGGCUUCAGCCAAUCACCUGGCCUGUCAAGACAUAAAUGUAGUCAUAGCGAUGAGAAACCAGAGGGUGGUGGGAGUCUAGAAAUCACUGCCUGAAAGCGUGUAAAUGAUUUGGGUGGUUGAGUCAGAAACUCUUCUAACAUUUAAGAACUAUUAAAAUGUUCA
Molecule: long non-coding RNA, 717 nt
Organism: Carcharodon carcharias (great white shark)
Lineage: Eukaryota; Metazoa; Chordata; Chondrichthyes; Lamniformes; Lamnidae
Exons: 4
Source: RefSeq, a predicted model, not a curated record